This 441-nucleotide ribosomal RNA is filed under the name uncultured bacterium. RNAcentral describes it as "partial 16S ribosomal RNA". It matches the Rfam family "Bacterial small subunit ribosomal RNA", at positions 338 to 795 of the family's 1533-position model. The record is from RNAcentral.
CCUACGGGUGGCAGCAGUGGGGAAUAUUGCACAAUGGGCGCAACCCUGAUGCAGCGACGCCGCGUGAGCGAGGAAGUAUUUCGGUAUGGAAAGCUCUAUCAGCAGGGACGAAAAAAGACGGUACCUGACUAAGAAGCCCCGGCUAACUUCGUGCCAGCCGCCGCGGUCAUACGUAGGGGGCAAGCGUUAUCCGGAUUUACUGGGUGUAAAGGGAGCGUAGACGGCAAGGCAAGUCAGAAGUGAAAGGGCAGGGCUCAACCCUGGACAUGCUUUUGAAACUGGGGGGCUUGAGUGCAGGAGAGGUAAGCGGAAUUCGUGGUGUAGCGGUGAAAUGCGUAGAUAUUAGGAGGAACACCAGUGGCGAAGGCGGCUUACUGGACUGUAACUGACGUUGAGGCUCGAAAGCGUGGGGAACAAACAGGAUUAGAUACCCUGGUAGUC